Long non-coding RNA from Herpailurus yagouaroundi (jaguarundi), 1461 nucleotides. RefSeq lists it as uncharacterized. The record is from RefSeq and is a predicted model, not a curated record. NCBI's taxonomy places the organism in Eukaryota, Metazoa, Chordata, Mammalia, Carnivora, Felidae. The transcript has 6 exons.
GCACUGCCUCCCUCAUGGCCCAAUCAAGAGAAACCGGCUCUCCUUCAGCGCUUCCGCCGGUAUUCUGGCCGCCUAUCUCUACCAGUACUGUGCACUGGCUUGAGAUUGCACCCGCCCAUCUUGACUGACAUAUCCCCGGGCCCAAUCGUAGGCUCAAGCCGAUGUCCCUCUUCAUUCGAGGACUUUGGCAGCCUCAGUCAUGAUGGAUAAUACUGGUGCCCGACCAAUAGUGGUGCUCCGCCAGAACAGAGGCAACUUCACUCUCCCUUAUCCACCCGAGAAAGCGAGGGGAUGAAGGUGGAGUGGAGUAGUCUGUGCAUUGAGGAAAUGAUUGACGGACAGCCCCCCCCCCCCUUCCAAUCGGAGCGCUGUGCGCAGCCUGGCCAACCUAUGGGACUUGGCUGCUAAGGCGAGAGGCGGGCUUCUCAGAAGUAGGAAGUAUUCGUGGGUCCGUCUGCAGUCAGCCGGGCAAAGGGCUCGGCGGACUCUGGAAAUAGCGCGAACCGUGGACGUGCUCAUGACGAGGGGGGAGUGAGCUCACGAAGGCCACGUACAGGCUGCCCAGAGCUUGCCCAGACUCACAAAAGGGGUUCCCUGAAUUGCGACUUCCUUUGUCUCUGCGUGGUGUGCUUAAUUCCAAGCUCCUUGUCAUGUUGGCUGAAUCAACAUCCCCAGGAUAUGGCCAGAAGGCAGUGGUCUGCACACCAGGAAGUGGAUUCUCACCAGAUACCAAGGCUGUGGCCACUUUGAUUUUGGACUUUCCAGCCUGCAGAACUGUGAUCAAGGCUACUGAAGGGGUAUUUGAGUUCAUUUAUCUGACUUCUAAGGACAACAGUGUUUACAUUCAGAAGUGGACACCUCGGAAGAAAUUCUUCAUCUAGGAUGAUCAAGUCUCCUGAGGAGAAAUUUCAAUAUACCUACACAUCUGAUGAGAAAAAGUACCAUGGUGAAAAAAUACAUUCAUGAUUCUGUCUACUGAGAAGGCCUGGAAGCAGUGACACCCCAGUAGCAAUGAUGAACCCGUGUCCAGAUACAAUUUUCUAAAUUCCAUUGUUCAACUAAAAGCCAAUGGGACAUGGCGAAGAGUAUAAAAAGGAAAAACGGUGCCUUUGCAGUGGAGAAACUUGGCGGACCCCAGCCUAACCAAGUGAUCAUUGUUAACACCAUCAGUGAUGUAAUAUCAAGGCUAGGUACUUGUGAUACAGUGCAAUGAGAGUAUUUCCUCUUUGUGCUAUUCUUGAAAAUUGACAGCCCCGGUCUGAUCAUGAAAAUACAUCAGACACAUCCAAAUUGAGGGAGUCUCCAGAACACCAGUACACUGUAAAACUGCCAGGUCACUGAAAAUGAAGUUCCAUUAAGAAGUUGUCACAGACCAGGGGUGCCUGGGUGGCUCAGUCAUUUAAGCAUCCGACUCUUAUUUUGGCUCGGGAUGUGAUCUCAUGGUUCAUGAGUUUGAGCCCC